Molecule: long non-coding RNA, 288 nt
Filed under: Mustela putorius furo (domestic ferret)
Lineage: Eukaryota; Metazoa; Chordata; Mammalia; Carnivora; Mustelidae
Description: lncRNA (ENSMPUG00000025076.1)
Source: RNAcentral
AGCUAUCCAUCACCCUGGAAGAACACCAAGCUGUGAGAAGAGGCCACAUAGAUGAGAGUUUAUGCCAACGCACUAUGGUCCACAAUCCCCGCUGAUUUUCCGCCCAAUGCUGUACCAACUGCCAGCCCUGUGACUGAGCCAUCUUGGACACUCCAAGAUAAUGCUGCAGUUAAUCAUAAGGUGGCUUUCUGUUGUAUUUCACAAUCUAUUUACAAGACUUGCUUAAAGCCCUUGUAUUCCUGAGGGACAGGAAAUUUGGUCUCUUAAUGAUUGUAAUCCUGAAAACCU